GCGCGAGUGGUGAAAUUGGUAUACACGCCAGAUUUAGGUUCUGGUGUCUUCGGACGUGCGGGUUCAAGUCCCGCCUCGCGCA
Molecule: transfer RNA, 82 nt
Filed under: Arthrobacter sp.
Lineage: Bacteria; Bacillati; Actinomycetota; Actinomycetes; Micrococcales; Micrococcaceae
Also listed under: 2 other names
Description: tRNA-Leu
Rfam family: tRNA
About the family: Transfer RNA (tRNA) molecules are approximately 80 nucleotides in length.
Source: RNAcentral